This 458-nucleotide ribosomal RNA is filed under the name uncultured bacterium. Its description in RNAcentral is "bacterial SSU rRNA". It matches the Rfam family "Bacterial small subunit ribosomal RNA", at positions 30 to 507 of the family's 1533-position model. The record is from RNAcentral.
CGAACGCUGGCGGCGUGCUUAACACAUGCAAGUCGAACGAUGAAGCCGCUUCGGUGGUGGAUUAGUGGCGAACGGGUGAGUAACACGUGGGCAACCUGCCCUCAGCUUUGGGAUAACUCCGGGAAACCGGGCUAAUACCGGAUACGACCAUUCCCCGCGAUGGGGUGGUGGUGGAAAGUUUUUCGGCUGGGGAUGGGCCCGCGGCCUAUCAGCUUGUUGGUGGGGUGAUGGCCUACCAAGGCGUCGACGGGUAGCCGGCCUGAGAGGGCGACCGGCCACACUGGGACUGAGACACGGCCCAGACUCCUACGGGAGGCAGCAGUGGGGAAUAUUGCGCAAUGGGCGAAAGCCUGACGCAGCGACGCCGCGUGAGGGAUGACGGCCUUCGGGUUGUAAACCUCUUUCAGCUCCGACGAAUUCAGACGGUAGGAGCAGAAGAAGCACCGGCCAACUACGUG